RNAcentral lists this long non-coding RNA (2783 nucleotides) under Lactuca sativa (garden lettuce). RNAcentral describes it as "long non-coding RNA (LSAT_LNC006121)". Lineage: Eukaryota; Viridiplantae; Streptophyta; Magnoliopsida; Asterales; Asteraceae. The record is from RNAcentral.
GUAACUCUCAGUUAAAACAUCAGAGUACAUGACUUUCAAAAAAACCAAUGGCAGGUAAUGACUAUUUUGCCCUUCAACUUCUUUCACCCAACAUAUUAUAUUUAUUGCGAUUUCAUCUUGUAGAGAAAGAUGUGGUGUGAAAAUGGCCAUACAAUUCAAAGUAUUUAAAAUUUUUGUUUUUUUUUCUUUAAAAAAAAUUUAAAUAAUUUUUUUUAAUGGUAAGGAUUGACAGGUCAUUGUCAUUCCAUGAGGGUGAUGACAAUCCAUACAUUCGCCUUUUGCAUGAUAUAUUGUUGGCUUACUCUCUUCAACAACUUUGAUCUUGGUUAUUGCCAGGUCACAUACAUGUCCCUAUUAUUUACAGAGUAAAUUACAAUUUUGUCCCUAGAUGUUUCAUUUGUUGCACAAGUGGUCUAUCAAGUAUAGCUUUGUUGGAAGAUUAGUCCCUAAUUUGACAGAGUUGAAUUUGUUCCAAAUUUUGAUUUUGGUUAUCAGUUAUAGCAUUAUACUUUUAUUUUGUUUUUCCUACAUGGACAUUGUACUUUGAAAAUCUAAACACUUAAAAACAUAGUACUCUAAACUUAAAGAUAUUUUUCUUUUAUUUGUGUUUUUGUAUUAGUUAAUUAAUUUUUCAUAUAUUGCAUUAUAAAAUUUACCAUAUUAAGACUCUGUAUUGUGCAAAUUGAUCACUUUGACAUUUCAGUUGCUGAGAAUUUCUUCUGAGAGUGGUAUGAUGUGAUGGGUGAUCAUUUCUUAUUGAUUGCAUUGAUAAGAUUCUUACUGAAAUGAUGCGACAACCUUCUAGCACUCAUAUUAUUGACUGGUAAUAUAGGUGGUUGGAGGGCUACAUGAGCUAAUGACAUUCUCUUCUAUCAGCAACUUGGUUUAAGCUAAGCUCGUAUCAUUUUCGAAACUUAUUACUCAGGUAACUUCAAAUCCUUUUGUUGAAUCACAAUUUAGUGUUUGAAUUUUCGCUAACUUUUUCUCUUUAUUAUACUUAAACAUCUCUAGUAACAUGAGUUUAGUUAAUCUUUCAUGAUUUCUGGCAUUUGAUUACUGAUUUAUUUGCAUAUGAAUUGGUGCUUUUUAGGGUAGUCACAACCAUCACCAUUUUCGUCCACCAAAACCAGAUGAUGUUGCUACAACUGGGACAUGAAAGGUUUCUACUUUUUAUUCACUUAUGCUUUUUCUUUACAGGUAUACCAAAGUUGAAUUUUUUCUUUCUUCUUAUUCUUUUCCCUACAUAGUAAGGGGGAUGUAGCAGUUUCCUAUGAAAACCUGAUUGCAAUAGUUGCUGUUGGAAGUCUUGAAAUUAACUUUAAUCCAUUGGAUGUGUAAGUAUGAGCAGUCUCAAAUUGGUUUAUAAAAUGCCAAUUGUUUCACCAUUAUUUUGUUCUAAUGCUGCCUAUGCUCAUUUCAGUUAUGCAUAUCUUAUCCUCCUUUGGCACACAUCAGAUAUAUAAAAGGUCCAACCAGAUCGUGUUGAUGUGUACUUUGGUGCCUCAUUUGAAAAUAUCAAGGAGUAAGAAACUUCAAGUUAAGGUUCUUUUUCCAUAUUAAGUUUGACUUUUUUGGUGACUUGAAAUGCUCUAAUUUGGCAGAUUUUUCAAAGUGUAAUGCUAUAUUAGGAAAAAAAUGAAAGUAGAUUGCUAUUUCUUGCAUUUAAAGCAAUAUUGAUGUUUAUUAUCCGUGUUUCAGAAGUAAUGCUUGUGCAUGUUCCUGGGAUCAACUAUACAGCUGAGUUCUCUUUCUCUUCUGAUUGGGUAUCACCCUGUAUUCUUCAUCAGCAGUUUGUUUUUUUUCUGAAAAAUCUGAUUUUCAAACUGCACCAGUUUUGUUGCUACAUAAAAAUAGAAGGGAAGUUAUUCAGAAGACAGACAUUAGUCAGGGGUUUUUUUGGUAGCAUUUAACAAUUUUAGAUAGUACAAUUUCAUUAUGAUGUUUGGCAUUCCAUAAAAUAUUACAUGCAUUAUAAUGGAACAAAUUAACGCCAUAGGAACCAAAUUCAUAUAAAAAUUAGAGUUCAAUAUUGGUUCAUUAUAUUUUAGUCUGCCCUUUUCCUUUAUAGAUUUUCAUCCAGGUUCUUGGAUCUGUACUUUAAAUUUAUUACCACAUCUGAUGUGUUAGCAUAACCAACUGAUUUGAGGAAAAAAAGUUUAUAUUAGGUUGUUUAUUGUUCCUUAUAUAAGGCACAUAACCCUUUUUUUUCUUUUUUCAAUAAGUGCUGCAUUGAUAAAGUGCUACCUGGUUAACGAUGUCUUAAGGUUUCUGGAAUUUGUGACUAUAUCUAUGUUCUACUUGAUAAAAAAUGCUUUCAUAUGGUGUUUAAUUCAAUCAAUCUAUUAAAUUUCACUUAAAUUAAAAGUUAUUGAUGUGAAUAUCAUAAUUAGGCUUUUCUCUCAUAUAAUUGUUACUCUUUCAUGACAAAAUUAUUUUUCAUUUAUUUUGGCAGUUUGAUAAAUUAUCGCUAAAGCAUCCUUUGGUGGUUGAAGAGGAACACACAUUUGUUUUUAAUUUUUUUUUGGGUAAAUUUUAGAAAAAAGCCACAUGCCUAAUUCUUUUUUUACCAAUAUAGGAAGUAUACUUUAUUUUUACUGACAGAUAGCAAUGUGUAACCCAUAAUACCAUACUUACAAUUCUGCACUCUUUUUGGCAAUAUUCUUAUAUCUUUUAAUGAAUAAUAGCAAGAUAUUGCUAUAUAUGUUAUACAAUGACAGGUCAUUGUCGUUCGAUGAGGGUGAUGAUAAUCCAAACAUUCACCUUUUGCAUGAUAUAUUGUUGGC